Molecule: transfer RNA, 88 nt
Filed under: Opitutales bacterium
Lineage: Bacteria; Pseudomonadati; Verrucomicrobiota; Opitutia; Opitutales
Also listed under: 1 other name
Description: tRNA-Ser
Rfam family: tRNA
About the family: Transfer RNA (tRNA) molecules are approximately 80 nucleotides in length.
Source: RNAcentral
GGAGAGGUGUCUGAGUGGUCGAAGGUACCCGACUCGAAAUCGGGUGUACCGCAAGGUACCGCGGGUUCGAAUCCCGCCCUCUCCGCCA